GCCGCGCCGGGCGAAGCGCCGCAAGAGGGGCGGCGAUGAGCCCCGCCGAGCGCGCGAUGACGCUUCACGCGUGGCGGCGCGCGCGCCGCAUUCUGUGCGUGAGGCUCGACAACAUGGGUGACGUGCUGAUGACGACGCCCGCGUUGCGCGCGCUGAAGGAAAGCGGCGAAGGGCGGCACUUGACGCUGCUCACGUCGAGCGCGGCCGCGCCGCUCGCCGCGCAUCUGCCGAUGAUCGACGACGUGUGGAUCUACGAUGCGCCGUGGGUCAAGCAUCCGGGCGCGGACGACGGCGCGGCCGCGGACGUCGCGAUGAUCGAGCGGAUCCUGUGCGGCGGCUUCGACGCCGCGGCGAUCUUCACCGUCUACAGCCAGAGCCCGCUGCCCGCCGCGAUGAUGUGCCGGCUCGCGGGGAUCGCGCUGCGGCUCGCGCAUUGCCGCGAGAAUCCGUACCGGCUGCUGACCGAGCGCAUCGCGGAAACGGAGCCGCAGGUGCAGUUGCGCCAUGAAGUGGCGCGGCAACUGGCGCUCGUGCGCGAGGUGGGCGCGACGACGCGCGACAUGCGGCUCGCGUUCGAGCCGGGCGACGCCGCGCGGCGCGCUGUGCGCGCGCGGCUGCGUGCGGCGCGGCUUGCGUGGCGCGCGCAGGCGGAGGGGGGCGCGGAAGGCGACGGGCGGGAUCGCGCGCAGGCGCGCGGGGCGGGGGCUUGCCUCGAGCCGGACGACGCGGCGGCUUCGGCUGCUUCGACGCGUUCGGCUGCGGCCGAGGCGAAUGGCUCCGACGAUUCGUUUGCGGCCCACGGGGCAAAUGCUUCAAUCGCUGCGACUGCUUCGGUUGUUCCGGCUGCCGCGGCUGCAUCGGUCAAGUCGACUGCAUCGACCGAUUCGGCUGAUUCGACCGAUUCGGCUGAUUCGGCUGAUUCGGCUGAUGCGGCUGAUGCGGCUGAUGCGGCUGAUUCGAUCGCUUCAGCCGCUGCGGUUGCCGCAAGCAAUCCGAACGAUUCAACCGAUCCGCCCACCGACCUCGGCCGCUGGCUCGUCGUUCAUCCGGGCGCGAGCGCGGCGUCGCGGCGCUGGCCCGCCGAGCGCUUCGCGGACGUCGUCGCGCGCGUCGCCCGGUAUUUCGACGGCGUAGCGGUGACGGGCGGCGCGCACGAGCGCGCGCUCGUCGAGACUGUUUGCGCGCGCGCCGGCAAGCGCGUGCUGCCAUUGGCCGGCGCGCUGUCGAUCGGCGAGCUCGGCGCGCUGAUCGAAGCGGCCGACCUGCUGCUCGCGAACAACAGCGGCCCCGUGCAUCUCGCGGCGGCGCUGGGCACGCCGGUGGUCGAUCUGUAUGCGCUGACGAAUCCGCAGCACACGCCGUGGCGCGUGCCGAGCCGCGUGCUGAACGCCGACGUGCCGUGCCGUCACUGUUACCGCAGCGUCUGCGAUCAGCCGGGCCAUCCUUGCCUCGAGCGCGUGAGCGUGGACGACGUCGUCGCGGCCGUGCGCGAACUGAUGCGCGAAACCACGGGUUCGCACGGCGCGGGCGGCGGCGGCGCGGUGUCGCCGAUUCGCGGCGGCGCAGCGCGGCACGGUACGCACGCCGGCUCCGUGCGCGGCGCGGCCGCGCCCUGCGCCGUGCGGGGCGCCGCGCAUGCGCGCGACGCAUCGGAGCCCGCCGUGAGCGCGUCGGCGCUUGCCGUGCGCGCAGCCGGCGCGCAUGCAUCCGACGCGGGCUUGUCCGCGGCCGGGGCAUCCGCUCGCGGCGUAUCCGCUGCCGGCGUGCCCGUCGAGGGCGGACCGCUUGCCGACCCGCCGCACGACGCACCGCCCACGCCGCCCAUGCCGCCCCCACGCGCCGCCGUCCCUUCAACCGCUUCGCCGCGCGCGGCGAACGUCGUUCCGAUCACCUCCGCGACCGCAAGGACCUGACGCAUGGCCAAAUCCCGUCCACCGCUCUACACGCUCGGCAUCAACGCCGCGUUCCACGAUACCGCCGCGUGCCUCGUGCGCGACGGCGUCGUCGUCGCGGCGGCCGAGGAGGAGCGCUUCACGCGCAUCAAGCACGGCAAGCGCCCGGUGCCGUUCUCGACCUGGGAGCUGCCGUAUCACGCCAUCGACUAUUGCCUCGCCGAGGCGGGCAUCACGCUCGCCGAAGUCGCGCACGUCGCGUACUCGUACGAUCCGUGGCAGCAGAUCGAGCGCGACGGCCGCGAGCCGACGUUCACGCUGCCGCUGUCGCCAUCCGCGCAUGCGCGCGCGAACGGGCAUGCGUCGCCGUGGAAGCCGCUAUUCCUGUCGUACAUCGUCAACGCGCCGCGCCAGCUCGCGGACGGCGCGCCGCAUCAUCUGCGCCGGCGCUUUCGCGGCGUGACGCCCGAUGGGCCGUUCCGCUGGCAUUUCGUCGAACAUCAUCUGUCGCACGAGGCGAGCGCGUUCCUCGCCGCGCCGUUUUCGCACUGCGCGGUGCUGACGAUGGACGGCCGCGGCGAGAAGGCGACGACGAGCUACGGCGUGUUCGACGGCCACGUGUACCGCCGUGUCGGCCAAGUCGAUCUGCCGCAUUCGCUUGGCCUGCUGUAUGAGCGCGUGACGCGCCAUCUCGGCUUCCUGCACUCGUCCGACGAGUACAAGGUGAUGGCGCUCGCGUCGUUCGGCAAGCCGGCGUUCGCGCACGCGCUGCGCCGCCUCGUGCGCUAUGUCGGCGACGGCCGCUACGAAACGCCCGCGCUCGAUCUGCGCGAGCUGCUCGGCCCGCCGCGCGAGCGCGGCGCGCGCGUCGAGCCGCGCCAUUGCGACAUCGCGCACUCGCUGCAGGCGGUGCUCGAAGAGGUGGUGCUGGAGAUCGUCGAUUGGCUUGCCGGCGCAACCGGCGAGAAGCGCCUCGCGAUGGCGGGCGGCGUCGCGCUGAACUGCGUGAUGAACGCGAAGAUCCGCGAUCGCGGCCGCUUCGAGGACGUCUGGGUGCAGCCCGCCGCGGGCGACGCGGGCACCGCGCUCGGCGCGGCGCUGUGGACGGAUUUCAGCGAACGCGGCGAGCGCGGCGGCUGGCGGAUGGAUCAUGCGUUCCUCGGCCCGGCAUACGACGAGCGUGCGAUCGAGGCGUGCCUGAUCGACGCGAAGCUGCCGUACCGGCGGCUCGCGAACGUCGCCGCCGAAACCGC
This 3145-nucleotide ribosomal RNA is filed under the name Burkholderia mallei FMH. RNAcentral describes it as "23S ribosomal RNA". The record is from RNAcentral. Lineage: Bacteria; Pseudomonadati; Pseudomonadota; Betaproteobacteria; Burkholderiales; Burkholderiaceae.